This 254-nucleotide ribosomal RNA is filed under the name uncultured bacterium. Its description in RNAcentral is "partial 16S ribosomal RNA". It matches the Rfam family "Bacterial small subunit ribosomal RNA", at positions 524 to 776 of the family's 1533-position model. The record is from RNAcentral.
UACGUAGGGUGCGAGCGUUGUCCGGAAUUAUUGGGCGUAAAGAGCUCGUAGGCGGUGUGUCACGUCGUUCGUGAAAACCUGCAGCUUAACUGUGGGCGUGCGGUCGAUACGGGCAUCACUGGAGUUCGGCAGGGGAGACUGGAAUUCCUGGUGUAGCGGUGAAAUGCGCAGAUAUCAGGAGGAACACCGGUGGCGAAGGCGGGUCUCUGGGCCGACAUUGACGCUGAGGAGCGAAAGCGUGGGGAGCGAACAGG